This is a long non-coding RNA of Pezoporus flaviventris, 4158 nucleotides long. RefSeq lists it as uncharacterized. The transcript has 2 exons. The record is from RefSeq and is a predicted model, not a curated record. Lineage: Eukaryota; Metazoa; Chordata; Aves; Psittaciformes; Psittacidae.
GCUGGGUUACAGUAGCAGAAUUGGUGACAUAUGUUUUGCUUCCACAAGGAUGUUAAUGUCAUUGUGGGAUUUGGAUCUGCAUGGCUUUCAGGACACUAUUGUGUUUGAUGGAUCACAACUACUUCUACCUGCAAGUAUAAAUAUGGCAAAUACCAUGGCUUAAAUCUAUUUCUUGACAUCUAUGUCGAGUUUUCUGUUUGUUAUUUUUCUCUGUGUUUCUGUUAUUUGAUAUUGUAAUUAGAUGUGAUUAAAAAGUUGCGUUUCUUCCCUGUUGGCAAAUGUGCUAAAUUACCUAGAUUAUGCUUUUCAUUUAAACAGUGGGCAAAGCAAUAGGGUUUGUACCUUGCCUAGCCAUUGCUAUCUUGGUUUCAGGGUUUUUUUUUAAUGGAAAAAGAUCAGGUAUCUCGGUGUACUGCAAAAGUGUCAAGGGAAAUCUGUUUUGCCAUGUAAUUUGUGAUAGACACUAGUAAAAUAAGAGGUGAUGUUGUGACUUCUAGGGGUCAGUUCAGUUUGCUAAUACUGCACUUUGCAAUGUGUACUGGAAGGCCAGUGUUUCAGUAGUUUGCUAAUGCUUGCUUCUUUGAUAUAAAGGCACGUACAUAUUCUAAUUCUCUGAAUCCACAGGUUAACUUCUGGUGCUAUGGUGUAAUUAAAAUAAAUAGUGCUGUUUUCAAGUGACUUUUAUGGCCAUGAUACUAUGUAAAGUAACUUAAUUUUUGUAAAAGCUUUGGUUGCUUGUCUAUUUUAGGUUCUGAGCUGAAAUUUACCACUACUCAGGAGUUUGGCUUAAGGCCUCAAAAUAGCCUUUAUUUAGAAUAUAAAUAAUGUAUUGGACUUGUACCAACUGUCUGACAAGUGGUGAAGUUCACCUUGGAAGAAUAAAGCUUGCCUUUGUAUAUAGAGUAGCCAUCGUCUCUUUUUCCCCACCCCCAAAAAAGUAAGGUCUAGAGCACUGACUUCCCUGAAGAGCUGUUGCUGCAGUCAAGCUAACAUUCAACUGUACCUUGCGUAAGUGUUUAAGAAAAACAAACAGCUGAGCUGUUAGGUUCUUAAUGUGCUAACUCAGUCUAGCUACAGCAUGUUUGUAACAUAACCAUAUACAUAAUUAGAUCUUAGAACAUCAGUGUGCAUGUGUAUUUAAAGUUAUACAGGUGCAUUAAUGUAUUGCAACAUCUAAAUAACUGUUCAAAGAAGCAUGUAGUCUACAUGAUCAUACCCUUGUCCUCUGAAGGUUCUCAGCUUGUAUUUUAAUCUGCCAUGCUUGGAGAUGCCUGCAGUUCUUAGGAAUUGCCUCAAAAAAAAUCUCAUGUAAACUUUAAGGAGACUUUCUUUUGGGUUUUGAAAGAGAAAUUGUUUCUGUCUGUGAAACAGGCCUCUUUGUGGCAGUGGUCAGGUGUAAUAAACCAGUAAGUUUUUUUGUGGCAUAGUGCUGUAUUAGCACAUGCAGGACUUGGCAGAAACUAGACCACUGGCUGGAUAAAAAUGUUUCACUUACUGAGGGACCAUGUAUAUUUUGCUAUUUUGUAUUAUUGUCACUUCUGCUGGAGAAUUCUCCAGAGGAGACACAACUUUAAUUUUGGAGAUGUCUAAGGGGGAAAACUUGGUAAAACUCAAUUUUUUAUGGAAGCCCUAGAUGUUUCUUGAUAUUUCCUCUUUUGUUAAGGGUGUGCAUACACAAACACAAGGUGACUUAUUUUAACUGAUGACAAAGUCAACUGUUGGCUUUUUUUAACUUGUAGCCGGCAUAUCCAAAAGCGAUUUUUAUGAAGGUACAGCAAAAUGUGUACAAACAUAUAAUCAGCUUUAUCAUACACCUUUGGGGAAGCUGUGCAAUAUGAUUUUCUGAUGUUCUGAAACCUUGAAUAUAUAGAAGAUGAGUUGCCAAAAUAUACAGAAAUCACAAAGAAUUAUGAAGUUUGGUAGUAGUUUUUACAGGUUUACAUGUAAUUAACUGUACUUUGCAGAAGGAAAGCUUGUCUGUUGUAUUUUUGUCCAGGGUUGAUGCAAGAGAUUUCUAACGGUUAUUUCUCAAGCAGCGUUGUCAGCUCUGCUGUGAGUACAGUUCAAGCACUUCUUUAAUUCUCUUCAGAAAAAUUGGCUAAAUAUAGCUCAGAUUAACUAUUUAAACUGUGCCGCUCAAAUAGUUUUGCCCCAGAUGAGGUGGUUGGCACAUGCAAACCUUUUUCAGCUAGUCUAUGGCAGAAAUUACUUUUGCUUUAUUUCCUAAAGGUAAGGACCUGGAGGAAGGUGGAAAUGCAUUUAUGUGUUUUCAGGUUUAGUCUGUGAUGGUAAUACCAGCUGCUUUAUGAUUGCUAUUCCAGUUUUCUCCCAAUUAUUUUUAUAGUUUAUACAUUUUAGUCUUUCGUGUAAUGAAGAAUGCAUUUUUUUCUACUGCAUGCAAUAUAAAUAUUUGAUAGAUGCUUUUCUAGAUGAUAUUCGGAAAGGUAGAAGAAUAUCAUGAAAGCAGGCCUGUUCACAUUUUGUAUUUCACGUUUACUUUAAGGUACUUUGUUUAUAUUAUCUCCUCUGUGUUAGGUAACUUCAUUACAAAAGAAUACCACAGAGCAAUGCCUUAUUAACAACAGCAAGUAAACUUCUCUUUCUGCCUCUUCCAUGAGCUGAGCUUAAUGGUCACAACUGGUUAUAGUACCAAAAUAUGUCAUUUAAAUGAAUGGGAAAUUUAAAUUCUGAAUGAAAGCAGCAACUGUGAUGCGGUGUUUGUGUUUUGGUGGGGUUGGUUUGGUUUUUUUUUUUGUUGGAUUUUGUUUUGGUGGUGGGUGUUUUGGGUUUCGUUUUGUGACUAUUCCUGUGUGGUGCUAUUUUAUAAGCAAGGAGUGUGUGGCAAGGAUGGAAUUUUUGAAAGGGACUGAAUAUUGCCCUAGCUCUGCUUUCAUUCCCUUAAAAGAAGUAGGGUCCUGCUUGAGUCUUUGUGAACUGGCUGUCUAAACUGGGGUUUUAUCAUAUUUACAUCUCCAGAAGAAAUUUCUUGCUAGAAAGCAAGAAGACAUUAAGACUGAAAAAUUCAUAUUGUUGCUUCUAAAACACAAAUAUCUUUCAGCAAAUACUUGAGGAAUUCCUUGUUAGAAUAAACUGCAGAAGCCUAACUGUUUAUAGUCAAGUUCCUUAAACAACCGUAGAUUCUACUGAUUGUAUGCAGCAAUUUAAAUAAUAUGCUUAGCAGCCAGUCUGCACGUAUAUAAAAAAACAAGUUUGGGGUUUUUUCCUGAAUAAUGUUUGUAUCUCAUUGUACCUGCUUGCAAGUUGGUCCUGGCUUUUAUGAAGUCGUAUAUAUUGUCUCAAGAACUCCAAUCUUAAAUUUCUAUUUGUAUCUUCAAUUUUUGUUCAUCAAACAUAUUGCUACAUUCCUUUGAGACUACGUGGCUACUUUUUAACUGGACUUGAAGUUACAACGCAUCUCUCACAGAUACACUUUUUCCUGAGAGGAUAGUUCAGGAGCGUGUUUGAAUGACAAUAUGAUGUAAAAAAACCUGCUCAGUUCACCUGCUUUUAGGUAGUGGGAGAGAGGCUCUUUCCUGUUCUAUUAAUUUUUUUUUAUUUUUUUUUCUUGAGGACUGUGUCAACCAAAUAAAUAAGAAUGAAGUAUUCAUGAAGUCUUUUUUUCAUAGUUACAGGUUGGGGUUUUUUUCCCAGUUUGGCUUUCUAGGACAAGAGAAAACACUUGCUUUCUAUACGCCUGCCAGAAAGUUGGGGCUUUCUGUCUAUUUUUAAGUGCUUUCUUUAUGUCAGUAAUGGAAAAAGCACAGAAUCCUUUACUUGCAAAAGCGUAAAAUAGCGUUUAUCAGGAAGGGUGCUUUAUCUCCUAGUAAGUGCCACACUCGCAAUAAGAAACUACCUUUCUGGCUUCAUUACAUGUACAAGUAUGUGGGACAAAUUCACUUGUAGCAUAAUUCUACUGAACUAGAUUUUGUCGAGUCUUUCACAGUAGUGUUCUACCUCUAAACUAGAAUCUGAAAAAUGAUUAGGUGUUGAUUUCUCUUUCUACUUCUCACUAUUUUCUGUGAAGAAUGGUGGAUAGUUAAAUUGGUAUAGUUGGUAUAUUUUCUGUAAGUGUUUACAUUUCUGGAUUUGUUUCUUAAAUAUUUUGUUUGUACCUCUGAGUUUUGAAAUUUAAAUAAAUUAUUUGUAUGUUUAUUGAAA